UCAUACUGUGCUCCUCUGAGCUGUCUGCCUCUCUCUGUUUGUAUUCGCUAGGAGACUGCAUGCACCUGUGUGUUUCAGCACUCACUGCUCUUCUGGUCUCAUUCCAACUGGUUGUUUAUCAAUGUUGUCAUGUUAACAGCUCGUGCUGCAGUCAGCUGGAGAGGAGCAGAACUGGACCUGAUAGAUUCUCAAUAACAAAAACUCUGGGCAAAGGAAUUGUGUUUGGAGAGUUUCUGCCUCCAUCUUGAGACGAAAGAAAUCUGAGGAACAAACUUGCCUAGCUGGAAUGAAGGACUGACAACAAGCAGACUUGUGUGGAAAAGGGUGGCUGUAGAAACUUCGGUAUUGGAUGGCGAGCAACGACCACGUUCCCCCCGGUAACCUGUUUUAUGCUGAAGCAUUGGCCUACACUACUCCUCAAGCCUGACUACAUCUGAUUCCAGAGGACGUUUGACCAUCAGGUACAGCCUGUGCCCUGCUGGUAUGUUGGCGAUUUAUAAUACUAACAGUUUUCUUUCUGUUAGAGUGGCUCAGACUAGUUUCUAAUUCACAACCUGUGAAGCGUACAUGAUGUUUUUUUUUCACUCUGCAUGCUUUUUUGAUGAUGUUCGCUAUGUGUUUUCUCACAAUUAUUUUGUUGAGUUUGUAAGCGAACAUAAAGUCCCGAUAAACAUAUUAUGAAAAAUUCUAAAUUUAUCAGAUUA
Acanthochromis polyacanthus (spiny chromis) is the source of this 704-nucleotide long non-coding RNA. RefSeq lists it as uncharacterized. The record is from RefSeq and is a predicted model, not a curated record. The transcript is spliced from 3 exons. NCBI's taxonomy places the organism in Eukaryota, Metazoa, Chordata, Actinopteri, Pomacentridae.